This 495-nucleotide ribosomal RNA is filed under the name uncultured bacterium. RNAcentral's name for it is "partial 16S ribosomal RNA". It matches the Rfam family "Bacterial small subunit ribosomal RNA", at positions 28 to 507 of the family's 1533-position model. The record is from RNAcentral.
GACGAACGCUGGCGGCGUGCCUAAUACAUGCAAGUAGAACGCUGAAGGAGGAGCUUGCUUCUCUGGAUGAGUUGCGAACGGGUGAGUAACGCGUAGGUAACCUGCCUGGUAGCGGGGGAUAACUAUUGGAAACGAUAGCUAAUACCGCAUAAUAGUAAAUGUUGCAUGACAUUUGCUUAAAAGGUGCAAUUGCAUCACUACCAGAUGGACCUGCGUUGUAUUAGCUAGUUGGUGGGGUAACGGCUCACCAAGGCGACGAUACAUAGCCGACCUGAGAGGGUGAUCGGCCACACUGGGACUGAGACACGGCCCAGACUCCUACGGGAGGCAGCAGUAGGGAAUCUUCGGCAAUAGACGGAAGUCUGACCGAGCAACGCCGCGUGAGUGAAGAAGGUUUUCGGAUCGUAAAGCUCUGUUGUAAGAGAAGAACGAGUGUGAGAGUGGAAAGUUCACACUGUGACGGUAUCUUACCAGAAAGGGACGGCUAACUACGUG